RNAcentral lists this ribosomal RNA (504 nucleotides) under uncultured bacterium. RNAcentral's name for it is "bacterial SSU rRNA". It matches the Rfam family "Bacterial small subunit ribosomal RNA", at positions 29 to 524 of the family's 1533-position model. The record is from RNAcentral.
AUUGAACGCUGGCGGCGUGCCUAACACAUGCAAGUCGAGCGGCAGCGCGGGAGCAAUCCUGGCGGCGAGCGGCGGACGGGUGAGUAACGCUUGGGAAUCUGCCUGUUAGUGGGGGACAACCCGGGAAACGUCGGGCUAAUACCGCAUACGCGCUACGGUGGAAAGACCGGGGACCGGCAAGGCCUGGCGCUAACAGAUGAGCCCAAGUCGGAUUAGCUAGUUGGUAGGGUAACGGCCACCAAGGCGACGAUCCGUAACUGGUCUGAGAGGACGACCAGUCACACCGGAACUGAGACACGGUCCGGACUCCUACGGGAGGCAGCAGUGGGGAAUAUUGGACAAUGGGGGAAACCCGUGAUCCAGCGACGCCGCGUGGGUGAAGAAAGGCCUGCGGGUUGUAAAGCCCUUUCAGUGGGGAAGAAAAGCCUCGACCUAACACGUCGGGGUCUUGACGUAACCCAUAGAAGAAGCNCCGCUAACUCUGUGCCAGCCGCCCGCUGUAAU